RNAcentral lists this long non-coding RNA (8507 nucleotides) under Homo sapiens (human). RNAcentral's name for it is "non-protein coding lnc-AAK1-1:3". Lineage: Eukaryota; Metazoa; Chordata; Mammalia; Primates; Hominidae. The record is from RNAcentral.
UUAAAGAAUCACUGGGUGUUAAAGGCCUUCCGCUGUAUCCAGACCCCUCCAGAGUACCUGGCACAAAGACUCAGAACAACUUAGAAUCUGACUACUUGGCCAGAGAUGGCCCUUCAAGCAACAGCUCAUUCCACAGCAGCGAAGAGGAAGGGACUGACCUUGAAGGAGACAUGCUGGACUGCAGUGGGUCUCGGCCUCUCCUUAUGGAGUCUGAAGAAGAAGAUGAGAGCUGCAGACCCCCCCCGGGGAAGCUGGGAGGAGCCGUUCCAUUCGCUCCACCAGAAGUCUCUCCUGAGCAAGCAAAGACAGUGCAAGGUGGAAGAAAGAACCAGUUUCAAGCCUUCACACAGCCAGCCACUGAUGGGCUCAGUGAGCCAGAUGUUUUUGCCAUAGCUCCCUUCAGGAGCUCAAGGGUUCCAAAUGAUGACAUGGACAUUUUCUCCAAAGCCCCAUUUGUCUCCAAGAGCAGUAUGGCUCCUUCCCAGCCAGAGGAGUCAGACGUGUUUUUGAGAGCUCCUUUCACUAAGAAGAAAAGCAUGGAGGAGUUAACAGUUAUCCAAUGCACCUCCCAGGAGCUGCCUGCACAGACCGGUCUCCUCAGUCAGACAGGUGAUGUCCCCCUGCCCGCGGGCCGUGAGAGAGCUGUGUACACCUCUGUCCAAGCUCAGUAUUCCACAGCUGGUUUUGUGCAACAGUCUAACCUCCUGUCCCAUUCUGUACAAGCAGCAGACCAUCUGGACAGCAUCUCUCCCAGGGGAUCCUGCCUGGAAUCUGGGGGUCAUUCUAAUGACAGAAACAAAGGACCUCAGCUCCAGAAAGAAGCUGUCUCAGGCCCCAUGGCUGGCAAACCAUUCCGCCCCCAGUCCUUAUCCAAGUAUUCCCGUCACUAUAGCCCAGAAGACGAGCCAAGUCCAGAAGCCCAGCCCAUUGCUGCCUACAAAAUUGUUUCACAAACCAACAAGCAGUCGAUAGCUGGGUCUGUUUCUAUCACAUCCCUUUCCUCCAGGACUACGGAGCUGCCAGCUGCUGAUCCAUUUGCUCUAGCACCCUUCCCUUCAAAAUCAGGCAAGAAACCCUAGGAGCAAAACCUGAGCCUCAAGCCUCUUGUCUCUAUCCCACCCUCAAUACCCGCCAUGGCACUCCCAGCUUAGCCUUCUGAAGAAGAAAUAUUAUCAGUUCUUAUAUUUCAAUUCCCUGCGUCAGAGCAGAAUUUCUUGAGUCAACAAACUCAGUUGCAGUGAUAUUUAGUUGAAGCCCCUUUAAGUUAUGUUCAUUUUUGUUUGUUUGUUUGUUUGUUUAUAUUGAUUUCUGGACUUGGAGGCAUUUUCAUCUCCUUCACAGAGGUCAUCCACUUCCACCAAGAACUCUGCUUUCCCCCCGCCCCACCCACAGAAACUGUUUAAAUCCUGAAAUACUUCUUCACCCCAAUCCCAAAGGGGCCCUAUUGUUGCUAGUUUUAAUUCCUGUAGCUCCUGUUCUAAGUCAUGCCCAUCGAAGAAUCAAGAUUAGUCCCUCCACUAAAUCAAGAUUUAGUACUCUUGAAAAGGGGAGAUGUCUGGAAAGAAGAGCAAGAUAAAAACCCUGCACAUCAACAGGAAGUAUAAUCCUGCAGUUACUAAUAAUUCCUGUAGAAGCAGCAGCUCUAGGAGUCUCCAGAUCUGAUUCUCAGUCUGUGUGCAAGCCAGGCUGGCUCUCGUGCAUGACUGUCUAUGGGUGUGGAAUGUACGUCAGAGCCUGUGUAGAGAUACAGGCAGAUGGGCUAACUCCUCAUGUCUAGUCAUGCUGGCAGGGCUUUCCCCACAUCCAUGCUUUUGAAAUUAGUGUGAGUGUACAGGUUUGUGUGUGCAUGUAUACGUGUGUGUGCACAGGAAGCAUUUCCACUUGAGGGAAAUCCUGCCCCAUCAUGCCUACCUCCACAAUGAAAUCACUCGUUUUUUGGUGUUUGCUCGCCUAACUGACUUGAACCCCAUUUUAUUUAUUUAGUUUUUUUCUCAUGGCAAAGUAGAAUACGUUGGAAGGUGUAGGGAAAUCCUGCUGGAACUGGUGUUUCAGAGUAAAUCUUUUUUCUCUCCGGAAUUUCUUGUUUUGCUAUUAACAAAUUAUAUUUACCUGAUUAUGAAAAAUUAAUUUUCCUUAUACAUUUUCCCCUUACAACACUAGAAAAGAGCACCUUGUUACAGUUCCGGCCUCUCAGUAUGUGGGCUAAAUGCCAGCAUUAGGGAAUUCAUUAAUCAUGAGACUAGGCUACAAACUAGGCUUGCUUGUUUUGGGGUGGUUUUGUUGUUGUUGUUGUUGUUGUUGUUGUUGUUUCCAAAUCUCUACUGCCUUUUGAGGAAAUGUAAAUCUGAGACAUGGAAAUAAGUGUUUGGGAGAAUGGAAAAGAGCUGAAUCAGGUAGGCAUGAAAACUUUUACAUUCUCUAUCCUCUUUAGAUGUUGAAAUAGGCCAGACAGGUUAACUGAUGUUUUUUAAAAUUGUCUUUUAUUUCUGGAAAGAUCUGACUUAUUCCUAGCUUUUUUCAUACCCUUUAUUAUUAGUGCCUUAAAAUAAAGCUGGCCAGGUGCAGUGCCACACACCUGUAAUACCAGCAUUUUGGAAGGCUGAGGCAGGAGGAUCAGUUGAGCCCAGGAAGUUCAAGACCAACUCUGGCAACACAGCGAGACCCUGUCCCUUCAAAAAAUAAAUAAAAAAAUAGGCUGGGCAUGGUGGCUCACACCUGUAAUCCCAGCACUUUGGGAGGCCAAGGUGGGCAGAUCACAAGGUCAGGAGUUUGAGACCAGCCUGGCCAACAUGGUGAAACCCCAUCUCUACUAAAAAUACAAAAAAUUAGCUGGACGUGGUGGUGCACACCUGUAGUCCCAGCUACUCAGGAGGCUGAGGCAGGAGAAUCGCUUGAACCCGGGAGGCAGAGGUUGCAGUGAGCAGAGAUUGCGCCACUGCACUCUGGCCUGGGCGACAGAGCGAGUCUAAAAAAUAAAAUUAAAUAAAAUAAUGAAAAAAAUUAGCUGGGUAUGGUGACAUAUGCCUGUAGCUACUCAGGAGGCUGAGCUGGAAGGAUCACUUGAGCCCAGGAGUUUGAGGCUGCAGUGAGUUGUGAGUCCAGCCUGGGUGACAGAGUGAGACACUGUCUCCAAAAAUAUAAUAAUAAAAAUAAAGCCUGUAUCUCAAUGGGAAGAUUUCUGCUAAGGCAGUUCAACUCACUGGAAAGAACUGCUGCAUUAGGUUUCAACUUUAAUGCUUUCUGUUACUUCUAGUAAAGGUUAAGUGAUUUUUCCAUUAGCUGUAGAAGUUUGGAGAGCUAUUUACCAAGCCAGAUCAAUGAUUUAAAAAUUAUUGGAAAUUCAUCUAAGAAUCAAGUCUGAAUGCCCAAUUCUAUUGCGGUUGAUUAGGUGUGAUAUUCUUUAAAGUUCAGGAAUAUUGGCAGUAAAAAAUGAGCAGCUACUUUUCAAUACUUUGUCCUUUUUUGGUGGUCUCUGCCUAUUUCAAAUGUCCUGAUCAAAAGAUAAAUAAUUGGCACUGUGCCAAGGUUUGGUUUUCCAACUAAGGUUUCAACUGUGCCAGAAACCUAUGUCCUUCACUUUGGUGGAUGCUAAAUGUUAUUCUAAGAAUAUGCUUUUUCCCAAUUCUCCUUUCUGAUUUUUAUGUAUUAGUGGAUGCAAAAUUGUCUUUCUAGUUGAAUGAAUAAUUUCGGCUAAUGCACGUGGAACUUUGCACCCCAGAUUCUUCCCAUGGUCAUUAUCAAGUGAAGCCCUCAAAAACAUGAGCGAAGAGCCUAGAAAUACUCAGGGAGAUUUCUCACCCCAACUCAGAAAUUUUUUUUUUUUUUUUCAAGACGGCGUCUUGCUCUGUCGCUCAGGCGGGAGUGCAGUGGUGUGAUCUCGGCUCACUGCAACCUCCAUUUUCCGAGUUCAAGCGAUUCUGCCUCAGCCUCCCGAGUAGCUGGGAUUAUAGGCACACACCACCGCGCCUGGCUAAUUUUUGUAUUCUUAGUAGAGAUGGGGUUUCACCAUGUUGGCCAGGUUGGUCUUGAACUCUUGACCUUGUGAUCCACCCACCUUGGCUUCCCAAAGUGCUAGGAUUACAGGCGUGAGCCACCGCACCUGGCCCAGAAAUUCUUUUUUUUUUUUUAAAUUAUUAUUAUACUUUAAGUUUUAGGGUACAUGUGCACAAUGUGCAGGUUAGUUACAUAUGUAUACAUGUGCCAUGCUCGUGUGCUGCACCCACUAACUCGUCAUUUAGCAUUAGGUAUAUCUCCUAAUGCUAUCCCGCCCCCCUCCCCCCACCCCACAACAGUCCCCAGAGUGUGAUGUUCCCCUUACUGUGUCCAUGUGUUCUCUUUGUUCAAUUCCCACCUAUGAGUGAGAACAUGCGGUGUUUGGUUCAGAAAUUCUUAAAGUAAGAGAUCAUUCUAAUUCCCCUUUCCAAAUAUUCAGGAUUAUCUCUGUAACAGCCCAGCAAAAUGUUUUUCCUUUGGUUAUUUGAUAAUUCCCUUCUAAUCAAGUGACUAUUUUAAUUCUCAAGGUGCAAAUCAGGAUAAAAUCAUGGUGAUUUUACUACAUAGUUGAAUACUUCGUCAAGUAUGAGCUUGUAUCCUUUUUAAAUUUUUCACUGGAGGCCAGGCGCGGUGGCUCACGCUUGUAAUCCCAGCACUUUGGGAGGCCGAGGUGGGUGGAUCACUUGAGGGUAGGAGUUUGAGACCAGCCUGGCCAACAUGGUGAAACCCUGUCUCUACCAAAAAUACAAAAAGUAGCUGGGCGUGAUGGCACGCACCUGUAGUCCCAGUUACUAGGGAGGCUGAGGCAGAAUUGCUUGACCCAGGGAGGCAGACUUUGCAGUGAGCCAAGAUUGUGUCAUUGCACUCCAGCCUGGGCGAGAAGAGCAAAACUCCGCCUCAAAAAAAAAAAAAAAAUUGUCACUGGAGACAUGAUGGGUGGAGACUCUACAUACCUUCUUUGAAUACAGAAACGGAUGCAAACACAUGCAAAUUACUUUUUUUUUUUUUUUUGGUGAUGCAUGAAAAAACUUUGACUUGUGGAUUACAUUAAUUAUUAGUAACAGUUAGAUUCUGCCGACUUGUAUUACAGUAGGGUCUUAUUUCCUUAAAGAGAAAAAAAAAUACAGUCAUGCCCCACUUAAUGAUGAGGGAGACAUUCAGAGAAAUGCAUCCUUAGGUGAUUUUGUCAUUGUGUGAACAUCACAGAGUGUACUUAACACAAACCUAGAUGGCACGGCCUACUACCUACCUAGGCUAUAUGGUCCAGCCUGUUGCUCCUGGGCUACAAACCUGUACAGCAUGUUACUGUACUGAAUACUGUAGGCAGUUGUAACACAAUGGUAAGUAUUUCUGUAUCCAAACAUUUUAGACAUAGAAAAGGUACAGUAAAAAUAUGGUAUAAUCUUAUGGGACCAUCAUGGUAUAUGUGGUCCAUCAUUGAUGGAAUCGUUUUUAUGCAGCACAUGACUGUAUAUAAUCAACAAACAACUCUACUUUCUUGUUUUCGUUUGUUGUGUUUUUGCUUUACACAUUUGAUAGGGAACAUAGAAGUUGUGACCUUUCAUUUCAGUGGAAAGCAUUGAGCCAGAAUAUAUUUAUUCCUAAACCAUCGAGCCACACAUGCAUUGAUGAACCCUGAAAGAAUCCACAGUAAUUGACUAACAGGCAGUACUGAAUGAAAGAUGUCAUAUGUGGUGAAAAAUAUUUAAUAUAUCAGUUUCUUGGGCUCACAUACAGCCCUUUAGUUCCAAGUGCUUGGUUAGAUUAGAAAAUGGGAUGAACACAAUUUGAUGCUGAAGCAGCUGCUGAGCAGCACCCAGGGAGUCUAGGUCAUACGCCCUAUAUUGUUUUCGGCCCACUUAUUGUUGAGUUGAAAAGUCUCAUAUUUGUAGACUAGAGUGUAUGUGUUUAGAGGCUCAUGUUGUAUCUGAGUUUUCUCUGGCAACUAAGAUCUCUUUCUAAACGUUCUAGAAAGAUACUGGUAUCUUACUGGCCCAUUAUUUAGUAAGUUUUAGAAUACAUGUACAUCAGUGUUUUCAACUGCUUGGUGGACAUUUCACUGAUGCAUAAUCAAAGUAGCAGAUUAUAAUCAUCAGAGUGAUCUGACAAGGAAAUUCUGUAUUUGCUUCCAUAAAGAAAAAUAAUCAAAACAUAUAUCAGAUAUAAUAUAUAUGCAGUAUAUCACAUAGGAAAUUUUAUUGUAGGAAAUUAGAGAAGGAUGCUACUCAAUUCAUUCUCUAGCAGGAAGAAUACAGCUUAAAAAUCACUUGGGUCCCUUUAAUAAAGAAAAGUGUGAUUCUGUGUUGUGUGUUUGGAACUGAAAUUGGAGAACACGUGCCAGUCGACUGUGAAAUGGUUGCUGGAUAAAACCACAGAUGUGGUUUUAUCCGAGAAAUGUGGGACUGAAAUUAUUUUGAUGAGAGGUACAUAAGAGAGCUGCAGAAAAGACUGUAGCUUCUGAGGAGGCAGGAGUACCUUGUUAAUAUCCAAACCACCCCUGAGUUCUAAUGUUCCAACUCCACCUAAACGAGGAAUUGGAAACUUUAAAUGGAAUUAUCUAAUUUAAAUUCUUAGUUUUUUCUUUGUCUUUCUCAGCUGAUACUUGUAGUUUUGUUUUGUUUUUUAACCACCAAGAACACUUGCAAGUUUGUUACUGAAAACAUCACUAAAGGAAAAGAAGAGUUUCAAAAUGCUUGAAAAGUAGUAUGUGGUUGGGAAUUGUUUUUGUUCAAGUCCCUGGAAGUCCUCUUGGCUUAGCUCCCUUGUUCCUGUUCCCACUUCAUUUCCUUACUUAACAUUCCCCUAUUUUGAGCAUGUCAAUAAGUGCAUGAUGAAUGGCACAGUUGAAUGAUCAUGUUAACUUUAAUUGCUUCCUUUGUUGCUGUAAACAGUUUCUUGUUAAGUUUCAGCCAAGUCUGUGACAAUCUCACCAAAUAAGAAUGAAAUGGGCGGGGUGUGGUGGCUCACACUUGGAAUCCCAGCACUCUGGGAGGCUGUGUUGGGCCGAUCGCUUGAGCUCAUGAGUUCAAGACCAACCUGGGCAACAUGGCAAAACCUUGUCUCUACAAAAAAUACAAAAAUUAGCCAGGCAUGGUGGUGCACACCUGUAGUCCCAGCUACUUGGGAGGCUUAGGUGGGAGGAUGGCUUGAGCACGGGAGGCAGAGGUUGCACUAAGCCAAGAUCGUGUCACUGCACUCCAGCCCAGGCAAUAGAGCCAGACCCUGUCUCAAAAAAACAAAACAAACAAAACAUGAAUGAAUGAAAUGGCUCACCUUCCCUAUUAUGAACUAGAAGAAAGGAUGAAGGAAGGUUGGCAGGACCCCAGCCUUACUCUGUAGUGACAACCCAGAGGUACUUUUCCCGGAAUGCAGGGUCAAGUUUAUGUGUGAAGGGACUCUAGAAUAGCUGGUAAAAAUGGCUACAUGGUAACCAUUCUUGACUUAGUCCAGUAUUCCCAUAAUUUGUAAUUCCAUAAAUUUAUUCUCAGCUGUCCCCCAGCCAUUUCUAAUAGAAGGAUGUGUACCCCAGUUUUGACAAUGUUCUUGAAAUCAAGUUAGUGUUACCUGCAUUGCAUUAUAAUGGAACUAUAUGUACAUGUUAAAGGGAUCCGUUUGAUUCCUUUCGGCAAGGAAUUGCAAAAAUAGUUUUUACCAAUACCAGUUAAAAUAGGAUAGGUUAGACUUUGGGGGCAGGGUGAGACAGUGCAGCCUUUUCACUCUGAAAUGGCAAAUCAGCUGUACUCUUUGAGUCUACCAGAGAUUCCUAUUUGAGUGUGAAUGGGGUGUGUGUGUGUGUGUGUGUGCUCAUUCAUCUUCAUGCUUUCUUCCAUGGUGUUAAUUCAAGCUCUCCUAAUAAAGGUAUCCAAAGAGUACUGAGAAGUGACCAUAGGUAUUUGGCAUGAGUAAAUGUAGUUCCUUUUGCCAAAAAAACUCUCAAAAGUUACAACUGGAGUUCUUCGCGAUAAAAGGUUGGGGAAAUCAGCCAUGGCUUUAGCCUUGUUCCCAAGUACACAUCUUCUUAUCCACAAGGAUGAAACUCUGUAGGGCUCACCCUGAGGGCUCAUGUGUGGCAUUGAGAGGGUAGCAGUGACCAGAACACCACAAGGCCCACAAGAUGUUUUGAAUGAGGGAACAUUUAAUGUCAUUUGUUAGGAGAUAGAAACCAAAUAAUAAAGGACAAGGACCACGCUCAUUCCGUGGAGAAGAGGUGAACUCCCUCUGCUGACUAUUUGGAAUGGACUGAAUGAGGAGGUCUCUCCAGCCAGAAGGAGUAUUGAGGUCAUCAGGCCUCAGAAAACAAUGUACACAUAAUCUCGGGCUGUGAACAAGAGAAAGGAGGGGGGGAAACAUGAAAGUCAAUCUUAACAAUUUUUGCAAUACCUCUUAUUUGCAGACCAUUGGAUUUAUGUUAUUGCACUCUCGGUGUGAUUUAUCGUAUGUAUCUGAUAGGUUUUAUGAAUUGUUUUGAGUUGUAAACUCCUAUACCCUUUAUUAAAAUGGACCUAAUUAAGUGA